This 759-nucleotide long non-coding RNA is filed under the name Homo sapiens (human). RNAcentral describes it as "HSALNT0348100". The record is from RNAcentral. Lineage: Eukaryota; Metazoa; Chordata; Mammalia; Primates; Hominidae.
CAGACAAAUGGAUGGUGAGCAAGGUGAAGAGAUUUAUUGAGUAAUAGAACAGCUUAGAGGAGACCCUGGGGUGGGCAGUUCUUCCCUGUUGGUUGGCAGGUCACUGGAGUCUGGCAGACUCCAGGGCUGUCCAUGGACAGCCAUGGGCGGGCCUGGAAAAAGCACCACAAGUUCCCACUCCACGCAGCGGGAUCGGCAGCCCCUCCCCUAGGCUCAGGCCCUCCCAUCUUGAAAGUGGGGUUUCACCAGGGACCCACCUCCUUCUGCCCAGGGGCCUGUCUACCUCCUGCCUCCUUUCAUGGCGCCCAGGCUGUUUGUGCCAAGGGGCGUCUGCAGGCCAGCGCAGAGCUGCUCUCAACACCCCCUCAGACUCACUCCUGUGCUCCUCAGUGCCCAAAGUCUGGAUGGGGGGCGAGGCAGCAGGGGGCUGGCAUGUCAGUGCUGCAGUGAGUGUGUGCACACCCGGCCAGGCUACAACAGCACCUGGACUUGGCCUCAACCUGUCUCUUAGAUCGGAGAGGCCACAGGGUGUGAGGAGAGGCCAGGUAGCAGGAGCAGACACCUCCAAGCCUUCCCAGGCAGAGGGGGCCUUCCCAGGCCCCGGAGAGCGCAGAGAUAUCCAGGUCCACAGCCACAAUUUGGGUGGCUGUAGCCGUGCCCAGAAGGGUGGGGCUUGUGCCUACUCCAGGCCCCCAAGAACACAGGGAGGCCAGGGUUGCAACUGCGACUUGGGCAGUUCCAACUGCUCCUGGGUGGGCG